AGUGAACGCUGGCGGUAGGCCUAACACAUGCAAGUCGAACGGCAGCACAGUAAGAGCUUGCUCUUACGGGUGGCGAGUGGCGGACGGGUGAGGAAUACAUCGGAAUCUACUUUUUCGUGGGGGAUAACGUGGGGAAACUUACGCUAAUACCGCAUACGACCUACGGGUGAAAGCAGGGGAUCUUCGGACCUUGCGCGAUUGAAUGAGCCGAUGUCGGAUUAGCUAGUUGGCGGGGUAAAGGCCCACCAAGGCGACGAUCCGUAGCUGGUCUGAGAGGAUGAUCAGCCACACUGGAAAUGAGACACGGUCCAGACUCCUACGGGAGGCAGCAGUGGGGAAUAUUGGACAAUGGGCGCAAGCCUGAUCCAGCCAUACCGCGUGAGUGAAGAAGGCCUUCGGGUUGUAAAGCCCUUUUGUGGGGAAAGAAAAGCAGCAGGUUAAUACCCCGCUGUUCUGACGGUACCCAAAGAAUAAGCACCGGCUAACUUCGUG
RNAcentral lists this ribosomal RNA (492 nucleotides) under uncultured bacterium. RNAcentral's name for it is "partial 16S ribosomal RNA". It matches the Rfam family "Bacterial small subunit ribosomal RNA", at positions 29 to 507 of the family's 1533-position model. The record is from RNAcentral.